Molecule: small nuclear RNA, 102 nt
Organism: Oryctolagus cuniculus (rabbit)
Lineage: Eukaryota; Metazoa; Chordata; Mammalia; Lagomorpha; Leporidae
Source: Ensembl
GUGUCAGAAAUAUAUAUAUACUAAGAUUAGAAAGAUACAGAGAAUAUUAGCAAUCCCCUAUAUAAGGAUAACAUGCAAACUUGUAAAGUGUUCAUAUUUUUG